GGAUUGUGGCUGAGAGGUAGAGUACUCACCUAGCACGUGCGAGGACCUGGGUUCGAUCCUCAGCACCA
This 68-nucleotide transfer RNA is filed under the name Marmota monax (woodchuck). RNAcentral describes it as "tRNA.Ala". The record is from RNAcentral. Lineage: Eukaryota; Metazoa; Chordata; Mammalia; Rodentia; Sciuridae.